CAGCUGCCAUGCUCUGGUGGUCUUGACUAGCUGCUGUGUUUGUCCUCAGACAGGGGAGAUUGGAACUGGAUGACCUUUGAAGGUGCCUUCCAACCCAAACCAUUCCAUGAUUCUGUGACUUGAUGGUGCAAAACAAACCCCCUCACUGUCUGCCAGCACUCGGAGCAAACUCCCUUGACCCCUUUGCUCAGGUUUUUAACGCGCCGCUGCUGUAACCGGAGCCGGCAUCUGCAGCCCGGCGGGCGAGCUGGUCCCCGAAGCCGGAGGAAUACAAGCCCUUCAUUAUUGCCAAGUGGGAUCAGAGCACGUAGGUCUGUUUAGACACUGCGAAGCAUUGUAAGAGGGCUCUCUUCAGGGACAGCCAUAAAAGCCUCCUUCUUCCUCCCGUUAGAAAAGAGCAGCUGUAUUCUUCUUACGUGGACCCCGACGAAAGUUGCCUGUCUGUACCCUGCAAGAGUUUCGGGUCAGCGCAGAAAAGCAAACUUCAUUUCAGUCUGAAAUGAAGUCAAGUCUGAACAGAGUUUCCCAGUGCAGGGCUGUGCCUUGGGUGGGAGCUGCUCUCACCUCUGUGCAUGUGGCUCAUGGCUCGGGGAGCUGGUGGGGAAGGUUUCUCAGGUUCUGUAUUGCUAUCUGACAGAUAUUUUGGCAGCUCUAAACUAACUUUAAAGUAUAAUCCUGAGCAAUCUUAAAGAUUAGGUUAUUUUGGGCUAUAAAUUACCUGUUAAUGGCCACUCCCAGCACCUUUGACAUUAAAUUAAAACCAUAACCACUGCUUGUUAAACAGGAGAGACAGGCCACUUUACAGUGCCAGCACUCCCCAGUUUUAUAUCUGGGGCUCAGUCUAGUUUUCCCUCUUCAAAACCAGUGACAAAGUGCUCAAUCAGUGAUAUAAAUAAGCAGGACUGAAUUGGUUAUUUUAUAGGUACAUGAGUGCCUCAUUAAUUGCUGAGUGCUACAGAUGUGAACAGGGUGCUCUAAACUGUUUACCAGCUGGUUCUUGGAAAUGAGACUUCCUGGAUGACUUUCCUGUUGAGAUAUGCUGCCCCUCCUUGUAAUUCCCAUGGUGGUUCCUGCUUCCCGGCAAGACCAAACUCCCCAUUCACACACAGGAUCAUUGCUGGCGUUGCCACUGGAGUUGCUAGAAGAGCUCUGCUCAGGCGCCUGGAAGAUAUUGAUUGCUCUGUGCAACUUCCCAGCGUGAGCCUGCCCAUGACACACUCAGCAUCCAGAAAUGUGAGCCACGCUGUCAGUGACAGGGCAAACCCCAGGAGCACGAGGACUGCUCGGCUGCAUCUGGAGCUGGGGUGACCUUUCCUGAAAGGACAGAUUGGCUUUGAGUCAGGCUGGGAGUCAGCGUUCUGCUGGAUUUCUGUUAAUUGUAUUAAUUGCAGCGGUCUCUGCUUGGCACUACUUUACUUGGAAACCUGUGUGUGCUCUCAGACAGAAAUCUUGGCAUGGGAAGGCUGAAUCUUCUGGUUGGAUUUGAGAAGGGGGAGGAAGAGGACAGGAGGGACUGACCAGCUGGGCUCCUUUCAGCACAGUCAGGAAAUUCAGAGUUGCUUCUGCUGCAUUCCAGUACCAUGGUGCUGUGUUACACAGGCUUCUUGCUGCUAAUUAAAUAUUUAACAUACGUGUGAAAUAAGACAAAAGGAGGGAGGGAAAAACCAACGACCCACAUGUGAGUGUAUAUCGAAAAGCAAUCCUGUAUCGGCGUGGAGAGAAACUAGAAUGUUUAAGAAGUCUCUUUGUCUUCAUAACCUUAUGGUUCUGCAUUCGUUUGCGAGGGCCCAUUUUAGAUACACAGAGAGAAAAUCUGAUGCUUUGUGUCAACAUCCCUGAUACACCGUAUUUAUAUGAAUGUGAGGCACAUUCUGACUAUUAACUAU
Passer domesticus (house sparrow) is the source of this 1886-nucleotide long non-coding RNA. RefSeq lists it as uncharacterized. The transcript has 3 exons. The record is from RefSeq and is a predicted model, not a curated record. NCBI's taxonomy places the organism in Eukaryota, Metazoa, Chordata, Aves, Passeriformes, Passeridae.